This 2894-nucleotide ribosomal RNA is filed under the name Escherichia coli. Its description in RNAcentral is "bacterial LSU rRNA". It matches the Rfam family "Bacterial large subunit ribosomal RNA". The record is from RNAcentral. Lineage: Bacteria; Pseudomonadati; Pseudomonadota; Gammaproteobacteria; Enterobacterales; Enterobacteriaceae.
ACUAAGCGUACACGGUGGAUGCCCUGGCAGUCAGAGGCGAUGAAGGACGUGCUAAUCUGCGAUAAGCGUCGGUGAGGUGAUAUGAACCGUUAUAACCGGCGAUUUCCGAAUGGGGAAACCCAGUGUGUUUCGACACACUAUCAUUAACUGAAUCCAUAGGUUAAUGAGGCGAACCGGGGGAACUGAAACAUCUAAGUACCCCGAGGAAAAGAAAUCAACCGAGAUUCCCCCAGUAGCGGCGAGCGAACGGGGAGGAGCCCAGAGCCUGAAUCAGUGUGUGUGUUAGUGGAAGCGUCUGGAAAGGCGCGCGAUACAGGGUGACAGCCCCGUACACAAAAAUGCACAUAUUGUGAGCUCGAUGAGUAGGGCGGGACACGUGGUAUCCUGUCUGAAUAUGGGGGGACCAUCCUCCAAGGCUAAAUACUCCUGACUGACCGAUAGUGAACCAGUACCGUGAGGGAAAGGCGAAAAGAACCCCGGCGAGGGGAGUGAAAAAGAACCUGAAACCGUGUACGUACAAGCAGUGGGAGCCUCUUAAUGGGGUGACUGCGUACCUUUUGUAUAAUGGGUCAGCGACUUAUAUUCUGUAGCAAGGUUAACCGAAUAGGGGAGCCGAAGGGAAACCGAGUCUUAACUGGGCGUUAAGUUGCAGGGUAUAGACCCGAAACCCGGUGAUCUAGCCAUGGGCAGGUUGAAGGUUGGGUAACACUAACUGGAGGACCGAACCGACUAAUGUUGAAAAAUUAGCGGAUGACUUGUGGCUGGGGGUGAAAGGCCAAUCAAACCGGGAGAUAGCUGGUUCUCCCCGAAAGCUAUUUAGGUAGCGCCUCGUGAAUUCAUCUCCGGGGGUAGAGCACUGUUUCGGCAAGGGGGUCAUCCCGACUUACCAACCCGAUGCAAACUGCGAAUACCGGAGAAUGUUAUCACGGGAGACACACGGCGGGUGCUAACGUCCGUCGUGAAGAGGGAAACAACCCAGACCGCCAGCUAAGGUCCCAAAGUCAUGGUUAAGUGGGAAACGAUGUGGGAAGGCCCAGACAGCCAGGAUGUUGGCUUAGAAGCAGCCAUCAUUUAAAGAAAGCGUAAUAGCUCACUGGUCGAGUCGGCCUGCGCGGAAGAUGUAACGGGGCUAAACCAUGCACCGAAGCUGCGGCAGCGACGCUUAUGCGUUGUUGGGUAGGGGAGCGUUCUGUAAGCCUGCGAAGGUGUGCUGUGAGGCAUGCUGGAGGUAUCAGAAGUGCGAAUGCUGACAUAAGUAACGAUAAAGCGGGUGAAAAGCCCGCUCGCCGGAAGACCAAGGGUUCCUGUCCAACGUUAAUCGGGGCAGGGUGAGUCGACCCCUAAGGCGAGGCCGAAAGGCGUAGUCGAUGGGAAACAGGUUAAUAUUCCUGUACUUGGUGUUACUGCGAAGGGGGGACGGAGAAGGCUAUGUUGGCCGGGCGACGGUUGUCCCGGUUUAAGCGUGUAGGCUGGUUUUCCAGGCAAAUCCGGAAAAUCAAGGCUGAGGCGUGAUGACGAGGCACUACGGUGCUGAAGCAACAAAUGCCCUGCUUCCAGGAAAAGCCUCUAAGCAUCAGGUAACAUCAAAUCGUACCCCAAACCGACACAGGUGGUCAGGUAGAGAAUACCAAGGCGCUUGAGAGAACUCGGGUGAAGGAACUAGGCAAAAUGGUGCCGUAACUUCGGGAGAAGGCACGCUGAUAUGUAGGUGAAGCGACUUGCUCGUGGAGCUGAAAUCAGUCGAAGAUACCAGCUGGCUGCAACUGUUUAUUAAAAACACAGCACUGUGCAAACACGAAAGUGGACGUAUACGGUGUGACGCCUGCCCGGUGCCGGAAGGUUAAUUGAUGGGGUUAGCGGUAACGCGAAGCUCUUGAUCGAAGCCCCGGUAAACGGCGGCCGUAACUAUAACGGUCCUAAGGUAGCGAAAUUCCUUGUCGGGUAAGUUCCGACCUGCACGAAUGGCGUAAUGAUGGCCAGGCUGUCUCCACCCGAGACUCAGUGAAAUUGAACUCGCUGUGAAGAUGCAGUGUACCCGCGGCAAGACGGAAAGACCCCGUGAACCUUUACUAUAGCUUGACACUGAACAUUGAGCCUUGAUGUGUAGGAUAGGUGGGAGGCUUUGAAGUGUGGACGCCAGUCUGCAUGGAGCCGACCUUGAAAUACCACCCUUUAAUGUUUGAUGUUCUAACGUUGGCCCGUAAUCCGGGUUGCGGACAGUGUCUGGUGGGUAGUUUGACUGGGGCGGUCUCCUCCUAAAGAGUAACGGAGGAGCACGAAGGUUGGCUAAUCCUGGUCGGACAUCAGGAGGUUAGUGCAAUGGCAUAAGCCAGCUUGACUGCGAGCGUGACGGCGCGAGCAGGUGCGAAAGCAGGUCAUAGUGAUCCGGUGGUUCUGAAUGGAAGGGCCAUCGCUCAACGGAUAAAAGGUACUCCGGGGAUAACAGGCUGAUACCGCCCAAGAGUUCAUAUCGACGGCGGUGUUUGGCACCUCGAUGUCGGCUCAUCACAUCCUGGGGCUGAAGUAGGUCCCAAGGGUAUGGCUGUUCGCCAUUUAAAGUGGUACGCGAGCUGGGUUUAGAACGUCGUGAGACAGUUCGGUCCCUAUCUGCCGUGGGCGCUGGAGAACUGAGGGGGGCUGCUCCUAGUACGAGAGGACCGGAGUGGACGCAUCACUGGUGUUCGGGUUGUCAUGCCAAUGGCACUGCCCGGUAGCUAAAUGCGGAAGAGAUAAGUGCUGAAAGCAUCUAAGCACGAAACUUGCCCCGAGAUGAGUUCUCCCUGAGACUUUAAGUCUCCUGAAGGAACGUUGAAGACGACGACGUUGAUAGGCCGGGUGUGUAAGCGCAGCGAUGCGUUGAGCUAACCGGUACUAAUGAACCGUGAGGCUUAACC